This 316-nucleotide ribosomal RNA is filed under the name uncultured eukaryote. Its description in RNAcentral is "partial 18S ribosomal RNA". It matches the Rfam family "Eukaryotic small subunit ribosomal RNA", at positions 1469 to 1796 of the family's 1831-position model. The record is from RNAcentral.
ACCCUUAGAUGUUCUGGGCCGCACGCGUGCUACACUGACCGGCGCAACAAGUUUCUUUCCUUGGCCGACAGGCCCGGGCAAUCUUUGAACGCUGGUCGUGAUGGGGAUAGACUUUUGCAAUUUUUGGUCUUCAACGAGGAAUUCCUAGUAAACGCAAGUCAUCAACUUGCAUUGAUUACGUCCCUGCCCUUUGUACACACCGCCCGUCGCACCUACCGAUUGAAUGGUCCGGUGAAGCCUCCGGAUUGGCGCGCACCUCGGUGCCGCCGAGAAGUUGGCUAAACCUUACCAUUUAGAGGAAGGUGAAGUCGUAACA